CAGGACGAACGCUGGCGGCGUGCCUAAUACAUGCAAGUCGAACGGUCUUUCUAUGGAAGCUUGCUUCCACUGAGAAGAUAGUGGCGAACGGGUGAGUAACACGUGGGUAACCUGCCCAUAAGAGGGGGAUAACAUCCGGAAACGGGUGCUAAUACCGCAUAGUUUUCUUGAUCGCAUGAUUGAGAAAGGAAAGACGGCCUUUGUGCUGUCGCUUAUGGAUGGACCCGCGGCGUAUUAGUUAGUUGGUGAGGUAACGGCUCACCAAGACGAUGAUACGUAGCCGACCUGAGAGGGUGAUCGGCCACAUUGGGACUGAGACACGGCCCAAACUCCUACGGGAGGCAGCAGUAGGGAAUCUUCCGCAAUGGACGAAAGUCUGACGGAGCAACGCCGCGUGAGUGAAGAAAGGUUUUCGGAUCGUAAAACUCUGUUGUCAGAGAAGAACAAGUUGGAGAGUAACUGCUCCAGCCUUGACGGUAUCUGACCAGAAAGCCACGGCUAACUACGUGCCAGCAGCCGC
Molecule: ribosomal RNA, 520 nt
Filed under: uncultured bacterium
Lineage: Bacteria
Description: bacterial SSU rRNA
Rfam family: Bacterial small subunit ribosomal RNA
Source: RNAcentral